Molecule: ribosomal RNA, 442 nt
Filed under: uncultured bacterium
Lineage: Bacteria
Description: partial 16S ribosomal RNA
Rfam family: Bacterial small subunit ribosomal RNA
Source: RNAcentral
CCUACGGGUGGCAGCAGUGGGGGAUAUUGCACAAUGGGGGGAACCCUGAUCCAGCGACGCCGCGUGAGUGAAGAAGUAUUUCGGGAUGUAAAGCUCUAUCAGCUGGGAAGAAGGAAUGACGGUACCGGAGAAAGAAGCCCCGGCUAACUACGUGCCAGCACCAGCGGUAAGACGGAGGGGGCAAGCGGUAUCCGGAAUUACUGGGUGGAUAGGGAGCGUAGAGGGGGUUGUAAGUCUGGAGUUAAGGGCGGGGGCCCAACCCCCGGACUGCCCUGGAUACUAUGUGGCUAGAGUGCAGGAGAGGUGGGCAGAAUUCCGAGUGUAGCGGUGAAAUGCGUAGAUAUUAGGAGGAACACCAGUGGCGAAGGCGGCUCCCUGGACUAUAACUGACGUUGAGGCUCGAAAGCGUGGGGAGCAAACAGGAUUAGAUACCCCAGUAGUC